This 301-nucleotide ribosomal RNA is filed under the name uncultured bacterium. RNAcentral's name for it is "partial 16S ribosomal RNA". It matches the Rfam family "Bacterial small subunit ribosomal RNA", at positions 509 to 807 of the family's 1533-position model. The record is from RNAcentral.
CAGCAGCCGCGGUAAUACAGAGGGUGCGAGCGUUAAUCGGAUUUACUGGGCGUAAAGCGUGCGUAGGCGGCUUCUUAAGUCGGAUGUGAAAUCCCUGAGCUUAACUUAGGAAUUGCAUUCGAUACUGGGAAGCUAGAGUAUGGGAGAGGAUGGUAGAAUUCCAGGUGUAGCGGUGAAAUGCGUAGAGAUCUGGAGGAAUACCGAUGGCGAAGGCAGCCAUCUGGCCUAAUACUGACGCUGAGGUACGAAAGCAUGGGGAGCAAACAGGAUUAGAUACCCCUGUAGUUCCUGUCUCUUAUAC